RNAcentral lists this ribosomal RNA (32 nucleotides) under Candida albicans. Its description in RNAcentral is "28S ribosomal RNA". The record is from RNAcentral. Lineage: Eukaryota; Fungi; Ascomycota; Pichiomycetes; Serinales; Debaryomycetaceae.
UUUGACCUCAAAUCAGGGUAGGACUACCCGCU